AUGAACGCUAGCUACAGGCUUAACACAUGCAAGUCGAGGGGCAGCGGGAUUGAAGCUUGCUUCAAUUGCCGGCGACCGGCGCACGGGUGAGUAACGCGUAUCCAACCUUCCGUACACUCAGGGAUAGCCUUUUCGAAAGAAAGAUUAAUACCUGAUGGUAUGAUGAGAUUGCAUGAUAGCAUCAUUAAAGAUUUAUCGGUGAUGGAUGGGGAUGCGUCUGAUUAGCUUGUUGGCGGGGUAACGGCCCACCAAGGCGACGAUCAGUAGGGGUUCUGAGAGGAAGGUCCCCCACAUUGGAACUGAGACACGGUCCAAACUCCUACGGGAGGCAGCAGUGAGGAAUAUUGGUCAAUGGACGAGAGUCUGAACCAGCCAAGUAGCGUGCAGGAUGACGGCCCUAUGGGUUGUAAACUGCUUUUAUAAGGGAAUAAAGUGGGAGUCGUGACUCUUUUUGCAUGUACCUUAUGAAUAAGGACCGGCUAAUUCCGUG
RNAcentral lists this ribosomal RNA (490 nucleotides) under uncultured bacterium. RNAcentral's name for it is "bacterial SSU rRNA". It matches the Rfam family "Bacterial small subunit ribosomal RNA", at positions 29 to 507 of the family's 1533-position model. The record is from RNAcentral.